GAUGAACGCUGGCGGCGUGCCUAAUACAUGCAAGUCGUGCGAUGAGGCCCUUCGGGGCACAUCAGCGGCGAACGGGUGAGUAACACGUGGGUGACCUGCCCCGAAGAGGGGGAUAACCCUGGGAAACUGGGGCUAAUACCCCAUGUGCUGGACGAUUCGGUUCGUCCAGUAAAGCCGCAAGGCGCUUCGGGAGGGGCCCGCGGCCCAUCAGCUAGUUGGUAGGGUAAUGGCCUACCAAGGCGAAGACGGGUAGGGGGCGUGAGAGCGCGGCCCCCCACACUGGCACUGAGACAUGGGCCAGACUCCUACGGGAGGCAGCAGUAAGGAAUAUUGCCCAAUGGGCGAAAGCCUGAGGCAGCGACGCCGCGUGGGCGAUGAAGGCCUUCGGGUCGUAAAGCCCUUUUCUGGGGGAAGAGCAAGGACGGUACCCCAGGAAUAAGCGCCGGCGAACUACGUGCCAACAGCCGCGGUAAAACGUAGGGCGCGAGCGUUAUCCGGAUUCACUGGGCGUAAAGCGCGUUGAGGCGGCUCCGUAAGUUGGGCGUGAAAGCCCCGGGCUCAACCCGGGGAGGUCGUCCAAUACUGCGGGGCUUGAGGCAGCAGAGGGAGGUGGAAUUCCCGGUGUAGUGGUGAAAUGCGUAGAUAUCGGGAGGAACACCCGUGGCGAAGCGGCCUCCUGAGCUGCUCCUGACGCUGAAGCGAAAGCCAGGGAGCGAACGGGAUUAGAUACCCCGGUCCCCGGUAGUCCUGGCCGUAAACGUUGGAUGCUAGGUGCGGGAGGAGAUCUUUCCUUCCGUGCCGAAGCUCACGCGUUAAGCAUCCCGCCUGGGGACUACGGCCGCAAAGGCUAAAACUCAAACGAAUUGGCGGGGGCCCGCACAAGCAGCGGAGCGUGUGGUUUAAUUCGAUGCUACACGAAGAACCUUACCUGGGUUUGACAUGCAGGUGGUAGGGAUCCGAAAGGUGACCGACCCGCAAGGGAGCCUGCACAGGUGCUGCAUGGCUGUCGUCAGCUCGUGCCGUGAGGUGUCGGGUUAAGUCCCGGAACGAGCGCAACCCCUGCCCCUAGUUACAUGUGUCUAGGGGGACUGCCCGGGACAACUGGGAGGAAGGUGGGGACGACGUCAAGUCAGCAUGGCCUUUAUGCCCAGGGCUACACACACGCUACAAUGGCCGGGACAAUGGGUUGCCAAGCCGUGAGGCGGAGCCAAUCCCCCAAACCCGGUCUCAGUUCGGAUUGCAGGCUGCAACUCGCCUGCAUGAAGCUGGAGUUGCUAGUAACCGCAGGUCAGCCAUACUGCGGUGAAUACGUUCCCGGGCCUUGCACACACCGCCCGUCACGUCAUGGGAGCUGGCAACGCCUAAAGCCGGUGGGCCAACCCGAAAGGGAGGCAGCCGUCGAAGGCGGGGCUGGUGACUGGGACG
Molecule: ribosomal RNA, 1425 nt
Filed under: uncultured bacterium
Lineage: Bacteria
Description: bacterial SSU rRNA
Rfam family: Bacterial small subunit ribosomal RNA
Source: RNAcentral